Non-coding RNA from Callithrix jacchus (white-tufted-ear marmoset), 14532 nucleotides. The record is from RefSeq and is a predicted model, not a curated record. Lineage: Eukaryota; Metazoa; Chordata; Mammalia; Primates; Cebidae.
GGCUAGACCGUGGCGACGGCAGCGGCCCCUGGGCUGGAGGAGGACGAUGAGGAGCGACGGAAGCGACGCUGGGGCACGCUGCUGCGCGGCGCCCGGUUUCGUGCCCGCGGCCGACUGCGCAGUCUGUCCGCGAGUCUGAGAUACAUACAGAAAACUACAAUGGAAAAGUCCUGGAUGCUGUGGAACUUUAUUGAAAGAUGGCUAAUAGCUUUGGCUUCAUGGUCUUGGGCUCUCUGCCGUAUUUCUCUUUUACCUUUAAUCGUGACUUUUCAUCUGUAUGGAGGCAUUAUCUUACUUUUGUUAAUAUUCAUAUCAAUAGCAGGUAUUCUAUAUAAAUUUCAGGAUGUAUUGCUUUAUUUUCCAGAACAGCCAUCCUCUUCACGUCUUUAUGUUCCCAUGCCCACGGGCAUUCCACAUGAAAACAUUUUCAUCAGAACCAAAGAUGGAAUACGUCUAAAUCUUAUUUUGAUACGAUACACUGGAGACAAUUCACCCUAUUCCCCAACUAUAAUUUAUUUUCAUGGGAAUGCAGGCAACAUAGGUCACAGGUUGCCAAAUGCACUGCUUAUGUUGGUUAACCUCAAAGUUAACCUUUUGCUGGUUGAUUAUCGAGGAUAUGGAAAAAGUGAAGGAGAAGCAAGUGAAGAAGGACUCUACUUAGAUUCUGAAGCUGUGUUAGACUAUGUGAUGACUAGACCUGACCUUGAUAAAACAAAAAUUUUUCUUUUUGGCCGUUCCUUGGGUGGAGCAGUAGCGAUUCAUUUGGCUUCUGAAAAUUCACACAGGAUUUCAGCCAUUAUGGUGGAGAACACAUUUUUAAGCAUACCACAUAUGGCCAGCACUUUAUUUUCAUUCUUUCCAAUGCGUUACCUUCCUUUAUGGUGCUACAAAAAUAAAUUUUUGUCCUACAGAAAAAUCUCUCAGUGUAGAAUGCCUUCUCUUUUCAUCUCUGGACUCUCAGAUCAAUUAAUUCCACCAGUCAUGAUGAAACAACUUUAUGAACUCUCCCCAUCUCGGACUAAGAGAUUAGCCAUUUUUCCAGAUGGGACUCACAAUGAUACAUGGCAGUGCCAAGGCUAUUUCACUGCACUUGAACAGUUCAUCAAAGAAGUUGUAAAGAGCCAUUCUCCUGAAGAAAUGGCAAAAACUUCAUCUAAUGUAACAAUUAUAUGAUGUUUUCCAUUUUGAUUAUUGCAUUGUGUUUUAAUUUGUGCAGAAUGGUUAAGAAUGUUCCUUUUAGAAGUGUUAUGUCUGUAUCCUGUCUGAAGAGUGACAUUAAACUUUGAAAGGACUUCAGUGCUCCUUUGUGAUGAUCCAAAUAGUUUUUUACAUUGAAAAACUAUAAUUCUUGGGAUUAUUUCAUACAUUUUCAUCAAAACUUUCAAUGUGGUUAUGUAUUCAUAUCUUUAGUUUAAUAUGUCGAUAUAAGAUAUUGUUCAAAAGUUUCUUGUUGCUGAAGUGGUGUAAUCUCACACAGAUCAAUAGCUAGAUGUGGAAGGAGAUAUGUAAACAAGAAACCUUUGGGUAUUACUACUUAAGUAAAUACUGGGACAAUCAUGAUAAGCAAACUUAGUUCUGUAACUGCAUUUUUCACCUUAAAAGUUAAAUGAAAUGCAUGAUGGUAUUUUAUUCCUUGAAUUAUGCAAUGCAACAUUUUAAAUGUAAAUAGCACUGGUCAUAUACUGAUGUAUAUGGUUAUCUGGGUUAUAUCUAUUUUUAUGUAAAUUCUAUUUUGUUUUUGGCAAGAAGUGAAAUUGAGACCUAUGUGCAGGUUGCCAUUGAAUUUUGCUCUGGUGAAUGCUGAGAUCCAGCUUUUUCUUACAAAUAAAUGGGACCCUGUUUUCCUAUAUAAAUGUACCGUGUUUUUGUUAGGCACAGUCUGGAUCAUGGCAUGUAGAAAUAGAAAUUUAGAAUUUCACUGCAGCUUUGAUGUGCAUAUUUGAACUUUUUAACAUUUGUAACUUUGGUGGCAAAGAGAAUUUUAGAUUCUGUUGAUUUUGUAAGUUUACAGCUGAACCACUAAUAGCAGUCACAGUGAAGAUGAACACUGCUUAAGAAUUAAAUUAGGAAGUCUUUUAUCAUUACAGAAUUGUACAUACUACUUUUCAAAAAUCCGCACAUUUGAUUUUAAGUCCCAAUACCUAGCUAUAUCUAACCCACUAAAGGCAAGACAUCAUUUGGACUUCUUGAAAAUAAAAGUUACAAAACCCAACAGUGUUCCAGUUGCUGUGAAAUAGAACUCCUACAUCAAAAGACAGCUUUAGGAAGUCUUAUUUAUUUGUUAUAAAAGUUUUUACAUGUCGGAAUGUGAGAGUGAAGGAAUUCUGGAGCUUUUUGACAUAGAACCUGUUACCACAUUUAGCAAUUAAGUGGCCAUAGGUGGGAAGUAGGAUUUAGAUGCGUAGAAAAGUAACAAAAUCUUACUUAGAAAAAAAAAGCCCCUUGAAACUUGCAGGAUUUACCUUAAUAAAAGUAUACGCUAUGAGUCAUAAUUGUGCCAAGUUGUUUAAAGCAGUCCUCAAAAAAUAGAUGCAAUUGAGUUCUGUGUAAUGUGUCAGCUUUAACAUAUAGUAUUUUGAAUAUUUUAGCUAUAUUUAAUGGCUUUCUGCAAGCAACUAGAACAGAGAAAUAAUGGGUCAAUACUCUUGACCUCAAUUUAAAAUUUUUUCCAUGGAGAUAGGGCUAGAAAUACUUUUGCCAAAUGGCAUUCUUACUCACUUUAUGCCAGUAUUUAGAAAAAAUAAAUUAUAGCAAGUAUGAUUUCUAAAAAUAAUUUUUUCUAUAAAUGUAAACAGUCUUGCUUUUUAAAACAAGUUGGUAAUGCAUAUCAUGGAAGGCAUAUUUUGUAUGUAUAAAUUCACAAUUAAAGCCUACUUUUCUUGUCAGUUCUUGCUAUGUAGAAUGACUAUUCUAAAUAUUAAUGUAUUAAAAAGAAAAUACAACAAAAUGUAUAGUUAGACACGAGCUUACAUGGCAUACCUUAUAUUUGUAUCAUUAUUUAAAGUUUACAAAAAAUACCUUGUGUUUCUAUGUGAUCAGUCUAUUACACUAUGGAGAAAUGUAUCAACCUUAGUUCUAAAUAUGCUGAUGAGGUCUAAAAGCUAUAUUUUCAUCAGUACUUUGCUUUUAUGCUGCUUUUUAUUUUUGAUAUUCCAGGUUUAUAAACUAUCUUUUUAAAUUUUAAGCCAGGACUUCAAAAAUUGUAGAGUACUUGUUUGCUAUCCUCUCCCUUAAUUCUCUUCUUAGGGUUAAGGAGCCUUUCUCUCUCCCUCUCUCUCUCCCCCCUUCUCUCUCUCUCUCUCUCUCUCUCUCUCUCUCUCUCUCUCUCUCUCUCUCUCUCUCUCUCUCUCUCUCUUUCUCUUUCUUCUUUCUGCAGCUAAGGGCAGAGGCAGUGCCUAGGGUGGUACCACAUCUGUCUUCACUAGCAUCUGUAUCCCAGUCUGUUUCCUUAGAUCGGUAAGAAGUGGAAAACAAACUUAGUAUGGGGUCCAUGAAGCCCAUGGCAUCAUUUUUGAAAAUAAUUUCCAGUUUUGGGGCCAAAGCAAUUGGUCUUAGUAAAAUGAGACUUCUUCAAGGUCACUCCUUCGCCUUGUACCCAUUGCUUAGCGGGAAUGGAAGUAUAUGUAUCCAUCUUGUAUAUUAAUUUCUGACUCAUUUAUACAAGAGCAGCUAUAGGAGUUUACAAAUGAGCUUUAAGUUACUGUAAAUUUGGGGAUCCUAGAGUGAUCUUAUGGCAAGAUACAGCUCAUUUAGAAUAAAAUCCCACAUCCAUUAUGGGGGGAAAAACUGGUGAAAAAGAAGUAUAAAAGGACCCUAAAAAGCAUACUGCAAAAUAAGAGAAGAAAUAAUUUGUGACAGGUAAUAGAAUACUAGCAAGAUAGAAACAACUAGAAAGGAAGGUUUGACACAGUUCUUACAUUUAGAUAUAGAAAAUAAAUUGAUGAGAUUGAUGAAACAGAAAUAGUGCAAAACAUUUGAAUGCAAAUCAUUUCUAAUAAGUGACUGGGACACUUGGCAUUGCAACUACCCUAUGUUUUUGCAGUUAUAUUUUUGACUGUAAAAUUGAUAUUUUCAUAAAAAUGGUGUUCUGAAUUUUGUUACAGGGCUGGUUAAAUUUAUGAUUACCUGUAGAAACUCGAAAGUUACAUAGAUUACAGCUUUGGUAAUAUGUCACUGGAGUAAUUAUGUUGUAGUACCUGUUGAGAAUUCAUACAAUCUGAUGCUUACAUAUUCAUUUCUUAUGUUUGUAAGAUUUGGCUUGGUGGGAAUAGGUUUGGGGAAAUUAAAGAAUGAGGGCCAUAUAUUUAAUGUUUUGUAAAUUAUCUUUCAAGCUCAGCUUAAGAGUAGUUUAUGUUAAGGAGACCCUUUUCUUCUUGAGGAUAGGAAUAGGUAAGAUAAACUUGUAAAGAAUGUCACAGAAGUCACUUUUUAAUUUACAUCAUGAUUGAGAUACUGAAAUCUUCCACUGAUCUUUCUCCUCUCCCUUUUUCAUAUUAUGUUUGAUAAUUAUAUAUAUUUUUAAACACUGUGAGAGGAAAAAUUAGUCAUAAAUAGCCCUUUUGGAUUAUCCACUUAAAUUUAUGUAUUUUCAUAUUACUCAGGUAAAGAUGGAAAUGACAGAGCACAGACAUUUAUUUUUUAAACUGAUAGGGUAGAAAAUGAAAUGUUUUUCUGCUUAUUCUUAAUACCAUAUAUAUAUAUAUAUAUCAUUUUAGCAAAUUGGAAAUAAUAUAUUCAUUUGUAUGGCAAGAUAAAUGCAGUCAUCUUAAUACUAGUCUACGCAUUUUUGCCAAAUGGCGCAAAUAUACCUCCAUUUAUAUUUUGUAUCUUAAAAUGUAGUUUAAAAAUAGGACAAUGUAUGAGACACUUUUUUACAAAAAGUGCCAUAUAUACAUAUGUAACAGGUGAGUGUGUGUUUAACAUAAUUUAUAACGAUUUCUGUCAGUACAGUGUAUAUGGAAAAGUCAAGUUGUUUUUAACAUAUUCAAGUAUGUUCAGUAUAAAGUAAGUUAAUCCCAUUUCAUAAUGUAAAUCAUAUUUUUGUUAUUUGCCAUAUUUUAUUUGAAGUAGUAAUAAAAUUUUAUAACUCAAAUUUGAAUGUCAUAGUACAUUGUGUGCUAACCAUGGCAAGCAAACAUUUACAUUUGUUUUUUACAAUAAAUUUCUUUUAAAAUAUACUUUCUAUUUUUCUGUACUGACAUAUGCAAUAAAUUGGUACAUUAAAAAUUUGAUUAAUGUCUUAAGAUAGUUCGCAUUCAGUCUUUUUUUAAAAAUUGUUAAUCUAAAAUUUUAUAGUAGGACAUUAAAGUUGUCUCAGUGGUGAAAUUCCUGAAUUUGCACUGAAAUUAAUGAAUUUUAUUCUAGUAAUGGUGUUAAUAAAAAAUAGAAGAUAGAUUUAUAUUUCCUUCCCUGAAGAGUAUUAUCCUCUGUUAUACAUUUAAUUUAGGCUAAUAUUAAAACUACAUGCUGUGAAUAGUUCCUAAUGCAUUUCUUUAGUUAAUUGAAUCUAGCAAUGAAUACAUUUUAACUUCAUAAUUAUGUUGCUUUCAGAUUUCAUAAAGUGCUUUUUUAAAAAGUUCUGCUUUUUUUUCCCACUCUUGUUUGUAUUUUAGUUAAUGGUUUUUAAUAAUCAAAAAAUGACCUGAUACUAACUCAGCCUUGCUUUUCCUAACAAGAAAUGUGCAUGCUUGAAUAUGUCAGAAUGAGUUGGAUAAUAGGAAGUGUAUGUUGAAUCCUAAAUGGUCCCCUCUAAGGGAAGAUGAAGAAUUCACUUAUUAGAGCCCACUUUGCAUGGGUAGAUAUGGUGGGAACUAGGGUCUCUCAUGUGCUGCUUGUAAUACAUCAGAAAGAUCACCAACUCAAAUCCCAUGGUGAAGUCGUUUUUAGAUGGCUAUUUCUUAAUUUUGAAAGAUAAGUGUUUUCACAUUCCCAUUUCACUCUCCAACUCUUUCCUUACAUUCUGUUACAUACUAAAAAGCAUGAACAAUUAGAUCUGGCUAGAAACUGUAACUCCUAUCUUACUAAGAAGAAAGGAAGGGAAAAGACAUUUUUGGAGUAUCUUCAAAUGUAAGGCCCAGGUGUUUAAUGUGUUAAUGUUAUUGAAUCCUCACAACAAACCUUAGAGCAAUUUGUAGUCCCAUUUUAUAAGAAACAGUCUCAGAGUGGUUCAGUAACAUGCCUGAGGUUACCUAGAGUGAACCGACAUGUCAAUCCAGGUCUCUAAUUCUAAAUCGAGGACAGCUAUUCAUUUGCUAAUUACUCAAACAAUUUGAAAAUUUUUUUCAUGUUGGAAUAGAUUUGAAAUGUUGAAAUGGGUUACAAGUUGAUCAGUUAUUCAGGCAUCCAAAAGAAUUGGCUAUGAAUUGAAAGAAGUAUACAGUAAACGACAUGUUUUCAAAGUCAUUAAAUGUGUGUUUUUGUAGGAAAAUCCAAAUGUUAAUCUCAUAAGAGUUACCCUCUCAAAAAAUGUUGGAGUCAUCUUUUUAUUCCUGAUACUUUUGAAAAACUUUUUGCUGUUUUUUCCAUUAAGAUUUAUUUUCCCAACAUUUCCACUACUACCAGACCGGUCCCUGAAAUUAUUUCAUAGUAGUCAACAUUUUUAUUGGGUGUGUUUUGUGUUCAAAAUAUUGUUCUGACUCCCUUUUGUCAUUUAUUCUUAAUAACUGAAUAUGAACUGGAUCACUGCCUCAUUCUUUCUAACAGGAAAACUCUGUAUCUUUCUCUAUCCAGUUCAGCAGCUGCCUUUCUCAGUAGAUCAAAGUCAGGGUUCUCAUUCUAUAGGGUCUUUUUACAAACUAAACCUUGUAAAAGGUAUCUAUUCUUUCUCUUUCUUGAAUCAAACUUACUCCUCUUCUGUGCAUUUAUUCAUAUCUGGUGCUUUAGCUUCUAGAUCCAAUGCCUCCCUCCCACCUCUCUAGGUCCCUGAGUCUGUGACCAAAUUCAUGGUAGCUCUUUACCAAUAGUUUUUUUUUCUUUUUCUGAACACCCAUUGCACUCCAAGCAUUUUGUGUUUUGAUACUUGGUUAUAUUCAGUUCAGUUCUUUAUCAUAUACUGUCUUUUGAUCUGACAGGAAUGUCAUGUGAUUUCUGUCUUCCAUAGCACCUAGCACAGUGCUGAGCACCUUGGACUAAAUACAUUUUCUGUAUACAAUGUGCACACUGAUUAUAAAGUUAGUUCAAACUUUUCCAUCUUUAAGAAGAAAAAGAAGCACAAAGGCCAUUAUACUUCUUAAAGGUUUAGACCUAAAGCAGCAACCGUUCUGGAAGUUACAAACACAUCUCAAACCAAUAAUUAAAGUAGAAAUGUUCAAAGUUACCCAUGUGAUUUAAUCAGUUCACAGAAAAUACGAGGGCCAAUAGCUGUGCAGGUCAUACAUUCCUUGAGGGCUCCAUCUUAAGCUGAGCAGAAGAGACUGCUAACAAGCUCAGGAAGGAGAGGAGCAAAGUGUACAGAUGUGGCUGUGGAGCAGAGAUCACUGGAGAUCAACAAGUACCACAGUGAUGAGUAGAACUUGCGUUAGGUAAGAGAGGAAGAACCAGAAAGUCAGGUGGGCACAUUAGCAGAAGGCCAAAGAAGCCCUUACCCUGGGACAUCCAGUUUGGGUGAUAGUGACUGUCCCAGCUUGACGAUUUCUUUGUCCUUUUUUAACCAUGUACCCAUGGUUCCCUUAUUAUAAAUUUAUCAUCAUCAUUACUUUUAAAAUGAUGCAAAUGGAGACUCCGGAAAGUUUGAGAGCUUUCCACCUCUGCAGGAAGUGACUUUGGAGUGCAAACAUACUUAAAUAUUAAUAUAUUUGCCAUCAAAUAUAACGUAGGAGCGCCUCGAUCAUCAGCAUUUUGGAAAAAGUUGAGGUCUCUCUAGUCUCUCCAGUAACAUUACAUGUUUCCUUUGAAUAUCACUGGACUCUUUGACUAAAGGUGCUGUGCUUCUUAGGUCGGGAAGAGGAAGACAAACAGUAUUAGAUUAGAUUAGAAUUACCUUAUAAGAUGUCAGCAAGUAUAUUUUACGCAUCAGAGGAACCCUGAAAUUAAAGAGCCUGCAAUCUAAUUUUCACUGUUUCACAUAUGAAAUGAGAAAUUUAAAUGAAGUAUGUGGUGAAGGAGCCUUGUAAGUGUUUCCCCUCAUUUUUGACAAUUGCCAAUAUCGUGAUGCAGUUAACAAUCUGAAGUCAGCUAUAUAAAAUGUUUCAUUUUUUUGCCUACAAACGUGGUUUAUAUUUCUAUCAAAUGUCACAGUUGUCUUAUAAAAGUCUCAUUUUAUUUAAUGAGCUUGUAAAUAUGAUUGAACUCCUAUUGAAAGUGAUUGUAUUAUAAUUUAAGAAGUUGUAUGACCUUAGUAUGAUAUUUAACCUUUCAAGGCUUUGUGAAAACUGGAGGUUUGACCCAGUUGGUUCCAGUGGCCUCAUCUAGCAAGGCCUUUCUAUGAUUCUGAGUAUAUAGAAAUCAAAAGCUAUUUUAGAUUCCCCUAAGAUUGAUCAAAAGUAUAGGAUGUCUUCUUUAAAAUUUAUGAAUUCACUUUGAAUAAGAAUGCUCAUUGUAGUACAUUAUGGAUAAAUGUAGAUUCAACUUUCGUUUACCCUGUUCUUUAUCCAGUCAUAAGGGGAAAAAGACAAUUUGUCAGCAAUGUUUAAAUGUAUGUGUCUUGGAUCAAUUUAAGUGCUAUAGAUACUCUGGUUUUACAGUCAUAUUCUCGAGCAAAGUAAACACUUGGAAGAUUGCUAUGGCACAGGGUAAUUUCCUUUUUGUAAAAACAGUUUUUACAUCAAACUCAAAAUUUUGAUUGUUUACAUCAAACUGUUUUGUAUCAAACUGUCUCUGUCUCAUCAGAGAAAUAUUAAAAGAUAGAAAUUAUUUUAAAUAAGGAACUAACUGGAAAUUCUGAUGUUGAAAUGAACAAUCACUGGAAUGAAAAAUUCACUAGGUAGGCUUAACAGCAGACUCAAAGUGGCAGAAGUCAUCAACAAACUUGAAUAUAGACUUCAUAAUGUCUGUGUAGAACUUGAUCAAGACUAGGCAAUCUGAAACACGGAGAGGAAAAAGAAUGAAGAAAAAUGGAAAGGCCACAGAGAAUUGCACCAACAUAUGCCUAAUGGUAGUGCUGGAAAGUGAGGAGAGAAAAGAGCAGAAAAACUAUCCAAAGAAAUAAUGACCAAAAAUUCUGCAAAUUUGAAAAAAUUCAUCAAUUUUACACCCGAGAUCGAGGAACUCCAAGUAGGAUGUGCACAAAGGGAACCACGCCUGGAAAGGGCGCAGGAAAAGUACUGAAAAACAAGACGGAAAAUACUGACUGCAGGGAGAGUAGCACAACUCAUUAUGUAUAAGGAAGCCCCAGUAAGAGUAACAGCUGACCAAUCUUCAGAAAUUAUCAGUGGAAGACAGAAAGUAAUGGUAUUAGAUAUUUGAAGUGCUGAAAGAGACCUGUCGAACAAGAUCUUACGUUCAACAAAACUUUCAAAAAUGAAGAUGAAAUAAAAUAUUCCUUGAAACAAAAACAUAAUUUUUGUGAGCAGACCUACGUUGCAAGAACUACUAAAGGAAGUCAUUCACACUGAAAGCAAGUAGUCAUACGUGGUAAUUUGAAUCCACACACAUAAAACCAAAAACACUGGUAAAGAUAAUUAUGUAAUUAGAAAAGACAGUAUAUGUGCAUAGUGCUGCUGCUUUUCUUAAAUUAUUGUAAAGAACUUGCAUAAAAUAUAUAUGCAUAAUUAUAUUCAUUCUGUAACAAAAAAUAUGUAAUUUGUUUGACAAUAAAAACAGAGGAAGUGGGUAGGAGCAAAGCUGCUGUGGAAUAGUGAAAUGAUGCCAGAUUGUAACUUGAAUCCACGGGGGAGAAAAGCAAACCUAAAAUGGUAACUGGAACUAUGGAAAGUGAAAUGACAAAUAAGGGCAGAACUGCUGUACCAUGAGCAAUCAACAAAUUAGAUAAUUCAGAUCAAAUGGGACAGAAUUUAAAGAAAUAUACAAACUCUCAAAACUGACUGGAGAAGAAAUAAAAUCAGAAUAGACCUACAACAAGAGACUGAAUAAAUAAUCAAAAUCCUUCCCACAAAGAAAAUUCUAAUUCCAGAUUCUUCAGGAGUGAACUGUUCCAAACCUUUAAAGAAUUAACAGGCUGGGCGCGGUGGCUUAAGCCUGAAAUCCCAGCACUUUGGGAGGUCGAGGCAGGUGGAUCACGAGGUCAAGAGAUCGAGACCAUCCUGGUCAACAUGGUGAAACCCCGUCUCGACUAAAAAUACAAAAAAUUAGCUGGGCACGGUGGCGCGUGCCUGUAAUCCCAGCUACUCAGGAGGCUGAGGCAGGAGAAUUGCCUGAACCCAGGAGGCGGAGGUUGUGGUGAGCCAAGAUCCUGCUAUUGCACUCCAGCCUGGGUAACAACAGUGAAACUCCGUCUCAAAAAAAAAAAAAAAAUUAACAGCAGUCCUUCACAAACUCUUCCAAAAAGUAAAAGAUGAACACAUUCCAAAUUAUUCUAUGAGGUUAGUAUUACUUUGCUAACAAACCCACACAAAGAAAUUACAAGAAAGAAAACUAAAGAUCAAGCUACCCGUAUAAAUAGAGGUACAAAAUUCUCAUAACAUACCAGCCAACUGAAUCCAGCAAUGUAUUAAAAAAAAAUCAAUUGCAAUGACCAAGUGGUAUUUAUUACAGGAAUGCAAAGAUGUUUUAAAAUCUAAGCAUUAACUAAUGCAAUACACAUAUGUUUUAGUUCACUCGGGCUGACAUGACAUAAAUACCACGGACUGGUAAGGUUAAAAACAGACAAUUAUUUUCUCACAGUUCUGAAAGCUAAAAGUCCAUGAUCAAGGUACCAGCAAAUUCAGUUUCUGGUGAAUGCUCUCCUCCUAGCUUGUAGUUGGCCACCUUUUCACUGUAUUCUCACAUGGCUUUUUCUGUGUGCACAAACAGACAGUGAGAGAGAUUUCUACUGUCUCUUCCCUUUAGAAGGACACCAAUACUAUGGGUUUACAGCCCCACCCUUUUGUCAUUUAACCUUGAUUACCUCCUUAAAGGCUCUAUCUCCUUAAAAAAAAAAAAAAAAAAAAAAAAAAGAGAAACAGUCAAAAAACUAGGAAUAGACAGGAACUGACUCAAUAUCAUAAUAAGCAUUUACAACAUCCAGCCAACAUCAGACCCAAUGAUGAAAGACUAAAAUCUUCCCCCUAAGAUCAGGAGCAAGACAAGAAUAUAUAUUCUUGUCACUUCUAUUCCACGUUGUACUAGAGGUCCUAUUCAGGACAAUUAGGAAAGAAAAGAAAAUAAAACACAUAGAUAAGAAAGGAGGAGGUAAAACUAUAUUAGCAGAUCACAUGAUCUUGUACAUAGAAAACCAUAAAGAAAUCCACUAAAAAACAUUGGAACUAUUAUACAUAUUCAGUAAGGAUGCAGGACUGAAGAUCAUGAUGGAAAAUUAAUUUUAUUUCUAUAUAUUAUUAAUUUAAAAAUCCAGUAUGAUGGGAAGUGUCAAGGGUUGAUUUGUGAAUGCCAAAAAUGAUAUAUUGAAAUUCUAUUUCUGGAACCUGCGCAUGUGACCAUAUAUGGAACUAGGGUCUUUGAAAAUAUAAUUAAAAUGUAAGUUAACACGAGAUCCUGCUGAAAGAGGAUGAGCCCUUAAUUCACUAUAUCUGGUGUUCUUAUGAAUAAGAGUAGAAGAGACACGGAUACAUACACACAUAAAGAGGGGAACACCACAUGACACAGACACACAGACACACACAUGAUUGCCAUGUGACAGUGGAGGCAGAGAUUGAAAGAUUGGAGGGAUGCAGCUGCAAGCCCGGAAACUCCAAACAUUCUCAUGAAUCAUUUAGAAACUAGCAGUGAAAGUAUAGCCCAUUUUACACCUUGAUUUUGGACUUGUCUCAUUUAGGACUGUGAGAAUACAUUUCUGUGGUUUCUAAGUCUCUCAGUUUUUGGGUAUUUAUUAUGGUAGCCCUAAUAAAGAUAAGGGAAGACUACUCUCCAAAGAUAAAUCAAAUGCUCCCCUAUCGAAAUCUCAGCUGGUGCUUUGUUUAUCUUUCUAGAAAUAGACAAGCUGAUCCUAAAAUUUUUACAUAAAUGCAAGGAACCCAGAAUAGCCAGAAUGAUCUUUAAAAAGAACAAAAUUAGAAAUCUUACGUACGCUUAUUUUAAAAUGUUCUGCAAAGCUACAAUAAUCAAGACAUACAGGCAUAAGAAUAGACAUAAAUUAAUUGACUAGGGUUGAAAUUCUAUAAACAAAUAUAUAUAUAUAUAUAUAUAUAUAUAUAUAUAUAUAUAUAUAUAUAUACACACACACACACACACAUUCAGUUGAUGUUUUGGCAAGUGUUCCAGGACAAUUCCAUGGGGAAAGGAAAGUCUUUGCAAUAAAUAGUGGUAAUGUUAGCAUUCAUGCAAAACAAUGAAUGGAUUUCUACAUCGUGCCAUCCAAAAAAUUGACUCAAAAUGGAGCAAAGCCCUAAAUUCAAGAGCUAUAAGUAUGAAACUCUUUGAGGAUAAUAGGCAUUACUUUGUGACCUUGGGUUAGACAAUAGUUUCUUACAUAUCAUGACAAAAACAUAAGUAACAAAAACAAAACAAAUAAAAACAUAAAUUGGGCUUUAUUUAAAAAUGUGCUUCAAAGUAUCAAAAAUGUGAAAAGACAACCUACAGUUUGGGACAAAAUUUGUGCAAAUUAUAAAUCUGAUAAGAGACUUGUUGGUAGAAUAUAUAAAGAACACCUACAACUCAAUAAUAUAAAGACAAACAAACCAAUUUAAAAAUGGGACAAGGAUUUGCUUACACGUUAUCCAAACAAAAUCUACAGUUGACCAAUAAACACACAAAAGAUGUACAAUGUCAUCAGUCAUAAAUAAAUGUGAAGCAAAACAAUGAGAUGCUACUUUUAUACCUGAUAGGAUGACUAUAAUAAAACAAGGUUAGCAAAUAGCAACUGUCAGUGAAGAUGUGGAUAAAUUUUGAACACUCAUACACUGCUGGCAGAAGUGUAAAAUGGAGCAGCCACUUUGGAAAACAGUUUAGCAAUUCAUAAAAUCUUUUUUUUUUUUUUUUUUUUUUUUUUUGAGAUGGAGUUUCACUCUUGUUACCCAGGCUGGAGUACAAUGGCGCGAUCUCGGCUCAUCGCAACCUCCGCCUCCUGGGUUCAGGCAAUUCUCCUGCCUCAGCCUCCUGAGUAGCUGGGAUUACAGGCACGCGCCACCAUGCCCAGCUAAUUUUUUUGUAUUUUUACUAGAGAUGGGGUUUCACCAUGUUGACCAGGAUGGUCUCCAUCUCUUGACCUCGUGAUCCACCCGCCUCGGCCUCCCAAAGUGCUGGGAUUACAGGCGUGAGCCACCGCGCCCGGCCCAUGAAAUCUUAUACACGCGGUUAGCACAUGACCCAGCAUUUACACUCCAGGAGAACUGAAACAUAUGUUCACACAAAAACUUAUACCUGAAUGUUCAUAGCAGCAUUAUUUAUAAUAGCAAAAACCAGAAACAACCCAAAUGCCCAUUAACUGAUAAUUGGAUACAUUAAAUAUGGUAGAUUCAUAUGGCAUAAUGUUAUUUAGCAAUGAAAAUGAAUGAAGUAAUGAUAGAUGCUGCAACAUGCACAAGCAUUUAAACCAUUAAGCCAAGUGAAAGAAGCAAGUCCCUAAGGAUCCAUACUGUAUGAUACCAAUGAUUCAAAAUGUCCAUAAUAGGUAACUCUACUGAGACAAAGUAGAUCAGUGGUUACUUAGAACUAGGUGCAUUGGGGGAAAUGAGGAAUGAUUGUUAAUGGACAAAAGGUUUCUUUUUGGGGGUGAUGAGCAUGUUCUAAAAUGGACUGUUAUGAUGGUUGCACAGCUCUGUGAAAAUACCAAAAAUCAUUGAAUUGUUCCUUGAAAAGAUUAAAUAGUAUUUCAUGUAAACUCUGUCUCAAUAAAACUGAGAGACCAUUUGGGAUAUUCUAGGAAAAGAAAUGUUGAUUCAAAUGAUAGUAGUGGAUCUGGAGAGGUGUAGAAAGAUUCAAGAUACACUUGGAAUGUAACUGGGAGUGGUGCAGGAAAGUAUAAAUUUAAUGCUUCUAUAAUUCUGCCUAGGAGAACACACGAUUUGAGGGAAAGAUGAGAAGUUCAAAUCAGGUUCAUGAUGAAUUUGAAGUGCCUAUAAAACAAGUUUCAAAAAGUGGACGUUAGGAAAAAUUGUGAAAGAACAUUUAAAACUCUUUAUACAUAUGAAAAAAUGCUCAUCGUCACUGGUCAUCAGAGAGAUGCAAAUCAAAACCACAUUGAGAUACCAUCUCACGCCAGUUAGAAUGGCGAUCAUUAAAAAAUCUGGAGACAACAGAUGCUGGAGAGGAUGUGGAGAAAAAGGAACACUUUUACACUGUUGGUGGGAGUGUAAAUUGGUUCAACCAUUGUGGAAGACAGUGUGGCGAUUCCUCAAGGCCUUAGAAAUAGAAAUUCCAUUUGACCCAGCAAUCCCAUUACUGGGUAUAUAUCCAAAAGACUAUAAAUCGUUCUACUAUAAGGACACAUGUACACGAAUGUUCAUUGCAGCACUGUUUACAAUAGCAAAGACCUGGAAU